RNAcentral lists this ribosomal RNA (568 nucleotides) under Vibrio parahaemolyticus. RNAcentral describes it as "bacterial SSU rRNA". It matches the Rfam family "Bacterial small subunit ribosomal RNA", at positions 100 to 665 of the family's 1533-position model. Lineage: Bacteria; Pseudomonadati; Pseudomonadota; Gammaproteobacteria; Vibrionales; Vibrionaceae. The record is from RNAcentral.
GACGGGUGAGUAAUGCCUAGGAAAUUGCCCUGAUGUGGGGGAUAACCAUUGGAAACGAUGGCUAAUACCGCAUGAUGCCUACGGGCCAAAGAGGGGGACCUUCGGGCCUCUCGCGUCAGGAUAUGCCUAGGUGGGAUUAGCUAGUUGGUGAGGUAAGGGCUCACCAAGGCGACGAUCCCUAGCUGGUCUGAGAGGAUGAUCAGCCACACUGGAACUGAGACACGGUCCAGACUCCUACGGGAGGCAGCAGUGGGGAAUAUUGCACAAUGGGCGCAAGCCUGAUGCAGCCAUGCCGCGUGUGUGAAGAAGGCCUUCGGGUUGUAAAGUACUUUCAGUCGUGAGGAAGGCGGUGUCGUUAAUAGCGGCAUUGUUUGACGUUAGCGACAGAAGAAGCACCGGCUAACUCCGUGCCAGCAGCCGCGGUAAUACGGAGGGUGCGAGCGUUAAUCGGAAUUACUGGGCGUAAAGCGCAUGCAGGUGGUUUGUUAAGUCAGAUGUGAAAGCCCGGGGCUCAACCUCGGAAUUGCAUUUGAAACUGGCAGACUAGAGUACUGUAGAGGGGGGUAGA